Molecule: ribosomal RNA, 426 nt
Filed under: uncultured bacterium
Lineage: Bacteria
Description: bacterial SSU rRNA
Rfam family: Bacterial small subunit ribosomal RNA
Source: RNAcentral
AGGGAAUCUUCCGCAAUGGACGAAAGUCUGACGGAGCAACGCCGCGUGAGCGAUGAAGGUCUUCGGAUCGUAAAGCUCUGUUGUUAGGGAAGAACAAGUACCGUUCGAAUAGGGCGGUACCUUGACGGUACCUAUCGAGAAAGCCACGGCUAACUACGUGCCAGCAGCCGCGGUAAUACGUAGGUGGCAAGCGUUGUCCGGAAUUAUUGGGCGUAAAGCGCGCGCAGGCGGUCCUUUAAGUCUGAUGUGAAAGCACGCGGCUCAACCGCGUAAGGUCAUUGGAAACUGGAGGACUUGAGUGCAGAAGAGGAAAGCGGAAUUCCACGUGUAGCGGUGAAAUGCGUAGAGAUGUGGAGGAACACCAGUGGCGAAGGCGGCUUUCUGGUCUGUAACUGACGCUGAGGCGCGAAAGCGUGGGGAGCAAAC